This is a long non-coding RNA of Ostrea edulis (European flat oyster), 8284 nucleotides long. RefSeq lists it as uncharacterized. The record is from RefSeq and is a predicted model, not a curated record. Lineage: Eukaryota; Metazoa; Mollusca; Bivalvia; Ostreida; Ostreidae. The transcript is spliced from 2 exons.
ACAUCCUAUCGGAGAGGGGGGGGGGGUGUCCUCCUCUACUUACAACAUUAAUUUUCUAUUAUUUUUACAGGCAAAGUUGGUUAUUUUCACGUGUAUGAAGUAAACCUAUGCAUUGAGAUCUUUUAUUAACGUUAACAUAUUUGUUGGCGUGAUUGCUGUAAAAUUAUACAGCAAUAUAUAUGCGGCCUUCUGCACUGUUGAUAAUGACGCUUCUCGAAUAUACUACCCGGAAGUCUUAACCUACUGUUACGCAAGCGUACUACGUUCCGGAUCAAGGAAAGAUAACUCAUGUUUUCGGAUUGGCCUAUAAAAAGCUAGCAUCACACCAGACUAAGUUCAAUAAAGGUUUUAACCCUGAUACAGACACAACAAAGUGUAUUCCCUAUUGAGGAAGCACUGCAUUUCUCUUUUUAUUCAUUGAUAAGAUUAUUGAGGAAGCACUGCAUUUCUCUUUUUAUUCAUUGAUAAGAUGAAUGAAAAAAUGUGCAGCAACUUUCUCUCUCCAUUGAAAAUCUAUAAAGUUUUUUACAUGAAGGAGAUGAUUUCCCCUCAUUUGCCCCUAUGGUCAUCCUAGUACUGCAUAAUUUUCUACAAAAAUAAAAAAAAAGUUCAUAUUUUAAUUUUUUUCCCCAAAAUGGAAAAAUGCAACCUUUUUUUCAUUGUGAAUAGGGCAGAAUAUUGGGCCAUGAGAAAGUACUGAUAAAUCUCUGGGUUUUUUUGUUUUUAUAUUGAAUUACAAACGUCACAUUGGGCACAGAUGGACAUAUUUCUAGUUUAAAGAUUGUAUCCUUGUGUUUAAUCCUAUUCACUUUCUAUAUCACAAAAAAAUAUUGUUACUCAUUUCCUGAAGUAAACUACCAAUGGUUCACAAAAAAACAAUAUAAGGCACCACUGGUUUUAUAAGCUACUAAUGUUUAGGAUUAUGGUUUAACCACUAUGCCGCACUCAAUAGGAUGAACAUGUACUAUGAGUUUAUUUUGUAUUUAGUGUAUAUAUAUAUAUAUAUAUAUAUAUAAUGGGUAUUUUCUGCUGUUGUUCAUUUUUUGCAGAUAGGAAAAAUCCGCAAAAAUUACAAUAACAAACAAAUAUAUCCACAUGCUCAUAGGUACAUAUAGGUAUAAUGCAACUGCAGAUAUUGGAAAUGCCGAAUUUACGGAUCAAAGCACAAAAAUUUCCAACCGCAGAAAUACCAGUUUUACUGUGUGUGUGUGUCUCUCUCUAUAUAUAUAAUAUAAAGACAAUAUAUAUAAUAUAAAGACUUUUUAUUUCAAUAUGUUGUACAUCUGUAUUUAUGGAUAAUUUGUAUAUAUACCUUGUAUUUACAGAUAGGAUUGUACUUAGUAUGCAUUAUCAUGUAUUAUAAAUAUAUGCUAUAUACAUAUUCUCAGGUCAUAAGGUUGUUUUCUAUCAUUACAGUACAUAAUUUAUACAGAAAUAGACCAGACAGAAGGGGGGGGGUGUCUUGGUCUUCUAUUUGUGUUACAUGUACACCUGUAAGUUCCGUCAUACUGGAUGAGAAAUCCGUGUCCUUAAUUACAAUUCAUGGGUUAUAAAGUUUGUUUAAACCAAAAGGUCAUUCUGACCAUGGUCAUUGCAAACAAGUCUAACUGCAUCCAAAUUUUGACAUGCUUUCUUCACUGUUUUCUUUUUACAUUAUUCUUUGUUUUUCUGUCAUUCAUGGGUUUGUAUAUGGAUUUUAUAAUGUUAAAAUAAUUGUUUGGGUUAUCAAGAAAUAUAUAUUUUUUAAUGUUCCUGAUACAUUGAGAAUUUAUGUGUAUGUAUCUUAUCAGUAAAUGUUGGUGGAAACUGUAAGAGGUGAUCCAUUCUGAAAAAAGGACUCGAUUUUAAAUCUUAAUCACAACUUGUUUUGUUUGUUUUCAUUGCAUUCCAAGGCCAAUUCAUGGUGCAGGUCUGUUUUUGUGUUCAUUUUUAAUUGAAUUUUGUUGUUACAGAAUAUUUUUUGUUACCCGAUAGCUGACUGAGCUAAAGUCUCAAGUGAGCAUUUUCUGAUUAAACUUUGUCUCACAUCUGUCUGUCCUGUAAACGGUCCUGUCAUGUAUGUAACAAACUUAGUCUCACAUCUGUCUGUCCUGUAAACAGUCCUGUCAUGUAUGUAACAACCUUAGUCUCACAUCUGUCUGUCCUGUAAACAGUCCUGUCAUGUAUGUAACAACCUUAGUCUCACAUCUGUCUGUCCUGUAAACGGUCCUGUCAUGUAUGUAACAACCUUAGUCUCACAUCUGUCUGUCCUGUAAACGGUCCUGUCAUGUAUGUAACAACCUUAGUCUCACAUCUGUCUGUCCUGUAAACAGUCCUGUCAUGUAUGUAACAACCUUAGUCUCACAUCUGUCUGUCCUGUAAACAGUCCUGUCAUGUAUGUAACAACCUUAGUCUCACAUCUGUCUGUCCUGUAAACGGUCCUGUCAUGUAUGUAGCAACCUUUCACAUUUUGACUCCCAAUCUUAUCACAAAACCUUUCCUUGCAUGGGAAAUUGGGAUUUGAUUUUCAUCAAAUGAAGGUUGAACAUCUUAAUCCAUGUUCUAAUGGGCAAGCAUGGGACCUUUAAAGGGGUUUAAAAUGACCAAAGAAUAGGAAUGAUAAUAUGGUUAUUUCAGGGCACCCAAUGCAAUCAACAUCAGUUGACAUUUGAACACUAUUUGACACCCUGACUUUUCUGUUUGUUAGGUAAGACACUUGUAUAUGACAUAGUAACUUUUCUGUUUGUAAGGUAAGACUUGUAUAUGACAUACUUUUCUGUUUGUAAGGUAAGACACUUGUAUAUGACAUACUUUUCUGUUUGUAAGGUAAGACACUUGUAUAUGACAUAUUUUCUGUUAGUAAGUUAAGACUUAUAUAUGACAUACUAUUCUGUUAGUAAGGUAAGACACUUGUAUAUGACAUACUUUUCUGUUAGUAAGGUAAGACACUUGUAUAUGACAUACUUUUCUGUUAGUAAGGUAAGACACUUGUAUAUGACAUACUUUUCUGUUAGUAAGGUAAGACACUUGUAUAUGACAUACUUUUCUGUUAGUAAGGUAAGACACUUGUAUAUGACAUACUUUUCUGUUAGUAAGGUAAGACACUUGUAUAUGACAUACUUUUCUGUUAGUAAGGUAAGACACUUGUAUAUGACAUAUUGACUUUUCUGUUUGUGAAGUAAGAUGCUUUUACAUGACUCCUUGACUGAUCUGUAAAAUUCUUGUUUAUAUCUUUUAAGAGCAACAAGGCAAUCAUUUAUUAAAAUGAUCGAUGUUCAGAUAUCUAGAUGUAGCAUAUAUGAUAUGCUUAAAUCAGAAAUCUAGAUGUAGCGUAUAUGAUAUAUUUAAAUCAGAAAUCUAGAUGUAGUGUAUAUGAUAUAUUUAAAUCAGAAAUCUAGAUGUAGCGUAUGAUAUAUUUAAAUCAGAAAUCUAGAUGUAGCAUAUGUAAUAUGUUUAGAUCAGAAACCCCAGAGAUAUCUAACUGUAAUAGCAUUUACAGUUUGCAAGAACAACAAUUAUUUACAAUUUAGCAGCAUCAUACAGAGGAAUAGAUUUGAAUCAUGGGCUGUUGAGAUUCAUUCUGUUAUUGGAAGUGUUUAGUGACCUAGGUGAGCAUUGUGGCCCGCCUCUUUUUGUACUGUCUCUAUGACAUUUAUCUGGCAAUCCGACAAAGAAAGAGGUUCAUUUUUAUACAACAUUUUUUUGGAAUGUGGCUGUGUCAUGUGAUAUAUUUACAGUAAUAUUUUAUGAGUUAGAUUGUUUUUGAUGUAGUUACAUGUAUUAAUUGAAGUAAUGUUUGACAAUGGUCAUUUUUCUACUGAGUGCUGUCAACUGAAUGCUGUUAAUAUUUAUUUAUAUCCAGGUUUAGAGGUAUACUAUUUUCAUCACAUGAUUAGUUGAAUAUGGCUGUGAUUUUCUUUGACAUAUCAUUUCUGCAUAUGAAAAAAACAACAACCAAUAAUAAUAAUAAUAAUAAUGUGCGGCAUUUAUAUAACGCAUCAUAUAAUUUGUAAUUACUCUAAGUGCUUUAACAAUGUAAAAUGUAAAACCUGAUAAGAUUAAUCAGAGCAUAAAAUAUAACAUCCAAUAAAAUACAACAAUUUAAACAUUACGAGUUCAUGCGACAAACCAGCCUUUACUUUAAAAAAGAAUAUAUUACAAAAUAUGGUUAUAAGAUUUCAUAAAAAGAUAUGUUUUGAGGUUUGUAUUAAAAGUUUUGAAUGUGCCACACAAAUGGAUGUCUAUCGGUAAACUGUUCCAUAGUGUGGCAGCUGUUACAUCAAACCUUCGAUCUCCAUAGGUCUUUGUACGAACACGGGGUUUUUCUAGCAAUCGUGAAUUGCAGUAUUGCCAAAAAACCAACCAACAACUAGAUUUUAUUUCAUUUGCUCAGUUAUUUAUUUUAUGCAAUCAUCAUAAUGGUUUGUGAUUUUAGUUUUUUAUUUCCCUGAAUUAAAAGAUUGUUAGAUACUAUUGGAGGGGGGUCUUUCUGUUUGCCAUUUUUAUUUGCUUGGCUGUCUGUCUUCAAAAAUACAUCAUCUUUGGUAAAGAAUUUCUGGAUCUUACUCGAUCUGUAUAAGUCCAUCCACACUUUGCAAAAAGUAAAUUGAGUUGUGUCCCUAAGUGGGGUCAACCCAAAGGUUGAAAUAGAAUAAAACAAUAUUUGUCUUUAUGCUACCAAAUGUGUAGGCAUACUGCAAUAAAUUUACAGCUGUUUUAACAAUUUUUCUUUCAAUGUACAUAAGUAGCCCCAUCUUGGGGCAAUCCAAAUAAAAGAUUCAAACAAUUUUUAUGAAAUGACAAAGUUACAAACUUAAAUAAUACAAAGGCCACUGUGAGAGAAUCCUGAGAUGGCAGCCAAGGGACAUACAUGUAACUUUAGCAAAGUGUGGAAGAAGCAUUAGAAUGGUGAUUGUUAACUUAAAUACAAUGAAUGUCAGUAAGGUAUUAGGUAUUGGGUAAAACAUGUGACAUGCACAGAGAAAGUUCUAAUUUUUGUAAGAAUUAUCUCUCUCUGUACUCUAUGUAGAGUUAUUUUCAAUUAUUAUCUAUGGUGAAUUAGACAAGAAUUAUUUAUAUAUGACCUCUUGAGCUAAAAUCAUUCAAAUUGUACUGGAGAAGAUUAUCUAUGUGGCUUAAAUAUUAGUUAUUUGAAUUGUAUUCCCAGAAAUACAUUAUUGUCAUUUAAAAACUAGAUAUGUAUCAGUGUCAUAUAGUGAGCUUUCUCUUUAUUAAAGUGAGCCUUUGGAAGAAUGGCUAUAUAGUGAUUUUUCCACAGAAGAAUGAUUGCAUAGUGACACUUCUCCUAAAAGGAUGGCUAUAUAGUGACAACAGCUAUAUAGUGACCUUUCCACUAGCAGAAUGGCUAUAUAGUGAUUCUUCCACUAGAAGGUUGGCUAUAUAGUGACUCCUCCACUAGAAGAAUGACUAUAUAGUGACUCUUCCACUAGAAGGAUGGCUAUAUAGUGACUCCUCCACUAAAAGGAUGGCUAUAUAGUGUUUCUUCCACUAGAAGGUUGGCUAAAUAGUGGCUCUUCCACUAAAAGGAUGGCUAUAUAUAGUGACUCUUCCACUAGAAGGAUGGCUAUAUAGUGACUCUUCCACUAGAAGAAUGGCUAUAUAGUGGGUCUUCCACUAGAAGGAUGGCUAUAUAUAGUAACUCUUCCACUAGAAGGAUGGCUAAAUAGUGACUCUUCCACUAGAAGAAUGGCAAUAUAGUGACUCUUCCACUAGAAGGAUGGCUAUAUAGUGACUCUUCCACUAGAUGAAUGGCUAUAUAUUGACUUCCUCUGAGAGAAUGGCUAUAUAUAGUGACUCUUCCACUAGAAGGAUGGCUAUAUAGUGACUCUUUCACUAGAAGGAUGGCUAUACAUAGUGACUCGUCCACUAGAAGAAUAGCUAUAUAGUGUGUCUUCCACUAGAAGAAUGGCUAUACAUAGUGACUCUUCCUCUAGAAGAAUGACUAUACAGUGACUCUUCCCCUAAGAUGAAAAAAUAAUUUUUAUUAUGCUCCCCCCCCCCCCUUUGAAAAAGAGGGGCAUAUUGUUAUGCACCCGUCAAUCCAAAAGCCCAAGUCUUGUCUGCUCAAUAUCUUAAGAAUCCUUUGCUUGACAGACAUAAAACUUGGUACAUUAAAGAUUAGAUGACUUGAUUUUGAGAUCACAUGGUCAAAGGUCAAUCCUUUCAGGACAUAGGAAGAUAUUGUCCGCUCAAUAUCUUGAGGACCCUUUCCUUAACAGACAUCAAACAUGGUACAUUGUAUAUUAUUCAUAUGGUCAAAGGUCAAGGGUCAAACUGGACAUAGUAGUAUGUUGUCUCUUCUAUAUUUUGAGAAUCAGAACUUUUUGCUUGACAGACAUCAAACUUUUUAUGCUGGUACAUCUUAGGAGUAGAUGACCCCUAUUGAUUUUGAGGUCACAUGGUCAAAGGUCAAGAGUCAAUCAAUUCUGGACAUAGGAAGAUAUUGUUUGCUCAAUAUCUUGAGGACCCUUUCCUUAACAGACAUCAAACUUGGUACACUCCUGGUACAUUAUAAGGAGUAGAUUAACCCUAUUGUUUAUAAGGAGUAGAUUAACCCUAUUGAUUAUAAGGAGUAGAUUAACCCUAUUGAUUUGGGUUCACAUGGUCAAAGGUCAAAUUAUAUUGUCUCCUCUAUAUUUUGAGAAUCAUUUGCUUGAUUGACACCAAACUUGGUACACUGGUGCAUCCUAAGGAGUAGAUGACCCCUAUUGAUUUUGAAGGCAAUCCACUCUGGACAUUUAAACAAUAAAAUGCUUUCUUUGUUGUUUCAUCGGGUGAUGAAGGAAGCUAGCACUGCAGAAAAAUUCAUAACCCACAUAAGCUCUUGUUGUAAACUGCUUUGCAUUUUACAAAAUAAUCUGCAACAAGUAAUGUUAUAUACAGUAGAUUCCUUAUUUAACACGAGUACUUAAUAUCACGACUUGUAGACAUCAGAUCCGGUGAACGUGAGUGAUCUGUUGAGCAUGAGUUUUUACAUGUAUUUUAGUAAUAUAAAAAUAAAAGUGAAUAAUUUGAUUUUGCAAAUGAUGCUUCUCACAAAAUUAUGUAAUAAUAAAUUUUUAACGUAUGUUUAGGAAUAUACGGAAAUAUAGACAUGCAUGGUUCUAAGUAUAUAUGUAGUGGUUUAUUAGAUGAUAAUCUUGGGUUGUUGGUGGGUUUUUUCCAAAGUCCUUGGGUUUUAAGAGAAAAAAUGCGAAUUUGGUUUUUGUAGAAUAAUGAAAGAAAGUGUUGAAUAAAAUCCAGAAUGAUUGUAUCGUAGGGGAAUCCAAACCUUUCCCUUUCAGUGAGGGAGUCAUUGUAUAGCCAUUCUUUCCCCGGCCCUUUCAGUGAGGGAGUCCUUGUAUAGCCAUUCUUUCCCCGGGCCCUUUAAGAGGAGUCAUUGUAUAGCCAUUCUUUUCCCCGGCCCAUUCAGUGAGGGAGUCCUUGUAUAGCCAUUCUUUCCCCGGCCCUUUCAGUGAGGGAGUCCUUGUAUAGCCAUUCUUUCCCCGGGCCCUGUAAGAUGAGUCAUUGUAUAGCCAUUCUUUCCCCGGGCCCUGUAAGAGGAGUCAUUGUAUAGCCAUUCUUUCCCCGGGCCCUUUAAGAGGAGUCAUUGUAUAGCCAUUCUUUCCCCGGCCCUUUCAGUGAGGGAGUCAUUGUAUAGCCAUUCUUUCCCCGGGUCCUGUAAGAUGAGUCAGUGACUGACUCAGUGUACAGUUGUCUUUAUCAUCCUUCUUCUUUCAACUCCAUUCACUUUACCAACAUUAUAAUGUCAUAUCUGCAAUAUGUGUAUUAUACAUAUGAAGAGAGAUAAUUCAUACAAAUAUAUAAAAUAUUUUUCUCUGAAUUUUAAAUUUCAUAUUUGUUUAGCAACUGGGACAAAUAUUUUCUAAUGACAUGUAAUAGAGAUCAGCAUUUUUUUUUUUAAAUGUAAAGCACAUUAUAUAGACUAAUACACUUAUAAUUAUAACAUUCAGAAUUUAUUGAGAUGUACAUAUACAUGCUGUUUACUUUAUAUUAUUUUUUAAAAACAGUGAAACCUGUCUUAUUUGACAUACUCUACAUUAAUUUUGUGUUGGAUUAGACAGUAUGUCAGAUUCUGCAGUGUAAAGAACACAAGCGGGAGGGGGGAGACAUUGAAAUGAAAAUUAGGAUAAAAAUAUACAGUGAAACAGAUUGCCUUGGUGUUGGUUGGACAGCAAUAAUUGUUAGUGCUAUUGUCUUUAAGUAAUGUAUUAAUUAUGAUACUGUAAUGAAAAAUAUGUUCAUAUUGUAUUUCUAUGAAAAAAUAAAUCUAUCUUUAUAUGGG